CACCCGGUAGCACAUGGGGUGCGUCUGCCUUACAUGUUCGAGAGUAAAAGACAAUCAUGUAGGCUGUAGAAGGCCCCCGUUCGAUUCGGGGUCGGGUGA
Non-coding RNA from Mycena rosella, 99 nucleotides. The record is from the annotation of a GenBank genome assembly. NCBI's taxonomy places the organism in Eukaryota, Fungi, Basidiomycota, Agaricomycetes, Agaricales, Mycenaceae.